Acanthosepion pharaonis is the source of this 109-nucleotide non-coding RNA. The record is from the annotation of a GenBank genome assembly. Lineage: Eukaryota; Metazoa; Mollusca; Cephalopoda; Sepiida; Sepiidae.
CAGCCACAUCAUGUUGAAACACCGAUUCCCCUACGAUCACCGAAGUUAAGCAACGUUAAGCCUGGCCAGUAGCGAUAUUGGAGACCUCUUGUCAAUACCAGGUGGUGUA